CGGCCUCUAGUCUACCGGUUGUCCGGCAGGGCAGUGCCGGGCAGCCACGCCGCGAGGGAUAAGGGCUGAAGGCAUCUAAGCCCGAACCCCUCCCCGAGACGAGGC
RNAcentral lists this ribosomal RNA (105 nucleotides) under Thermoprotei archaeon. RNAcentral's name for it is "partial 23S ribosomal RNA". It matches the Rfam family "Archaeal large subunit ribosomal RNA", at positions 2773 to 2877 of the family's 2987-position model. Lineage: Archaea; Thermoproteati; Thermoproteota; Thermoprotei. The record is from RNAcentral.